This is a long non-coding RNA of Mauremys reevesii (Reeves's turtle), 1012 nucleotides long. RefSeq lists it as uncharacterized. The record is from RefSeq and is a predicted model, not a curated record. The transcript is spliced from 3 exons. NCBI's taxonomy places the organism in Eukaryota, Metazoa, Chordata, Testudines, Geoemydidae.
UGUUCCUUUUAUGAAUAGAAGUGUCUAGAUAUAGACCAUCAAAGACUUCUUUUGAUUGUACAUUGUUGAUGGAGCCAGCUCCUGUAGCUGUUCUGACUGGGUGAGAGAAGAAAUCAUCCUCUCCAUGAGCAGCUCCCCAAAUGUGAUCCCUGGAGAUCUCUGUCAAGCUGUCUGGAGUGGCUCAUUACCAUGAGUGCUAACCUCAAGGCAGACCAUCAAGGAAUAGGGCAUGAACUCCAAACUGGUGGAUUAGGUCAGUCUUCAGACUGAUUCAGGGAAAAUAUAAACAAACAACCCCCGGUUGGAACACUAGAAGCUGCUGAAGGGACUAGAUGGAUGUUGCCUUAAUAUGCCAGUUUAACCUGAUCACUCAAUAUGUUUUAAUAAAAUGUUGUGCAGACAGCCGUAUCUUGCUAUCGGUUUAUCUGCAUAGUGAAUUUUCAUUGACUUCAAAGGGAAGGUGACAGGCAUUUGUCAAUAAACAAAAUGUUCAAGACAAUUUCUGGAUAAUACACAGUAAAAUAAAUGCUUACCGUUUUCAAGGGAUGCUGCCAAAACGAUUCAUUAUAUUUCAGAUAUAACUAUAAGAAUUUCUCAGAGGUUAGCCUUUGUUAUACAACAAAAAGUCAUUUUCUAUAUUAGAAACUGUAUAUUACUGGUGAUUGUUUCUUCUGGUCUUUUAAUUGCUUAGCUCUGGUCCCUAAUUUUAAAAAAAACAACAAAACACAGGAUAAUAAUGUAUAGCAUACAAAAUUUCAGAUAGUCUAUGAAUAAGCAUUGGAAACUUCAAGUAAAGCUUUUUUUUUUUCUGUCCUAAUCCAGUGUCCACAUCCAUGCAUCUGAGAUUAGUCUUCCUUGCAAAUGUUCUGUGUAAUGCAAGGCCUGGGACAAAGUUUGGGAAGUUGAUAAAUAUUUUUUUAAAACUAUCCCUAAUGAAUGGUUACAAAUGUCAUUUGAAAACUGAUGUGCUGUGUAAUUUGAUUCUGUGUAAUCUUUUUUUAAUGAUUUUUUC